Molecule: ribosomal RNA, 375 nt
Filed under: Clostridioides difficile
Lineage: Bacteria; Bacillati; Bacillota; Clostridia; Peptostreptococcales; Peptostreptococcaceae
Description: partial 23S ribosomal RNA
Rfam family: Bacterial large subunit ribosomal RNA
Source: RNAcentral
GGUCGGAAAUCGUACGUAGAGUGUAAAGGCAAAAGAGAGCUUGAUUGCAAGACAUACAGGUCGAGCAAGGAUGAAAAUCGGACUUAGUGAUCCGGUGGUUCUGCGUGGAAGGGCCAUCGCUCAACGGAUAAAAGCUACCCUGGGGAUAACAGGCUUAUCUCCCCCAAGAGUCCACAUCGACGGGGAGGUUUGGCACCUCGAUGUCGGCUCAUCACAUCCUGGGGCUGUAGUAGGUCCCAAGGGUUGGGCUGUUCGCCCAUUAAAGUGGUACGCGAGCUGGGUUCAGAACGUCGUGAGACAGUUCGGUCCCUAUCCGUCGCAGGCGUAGGAAAUUUGAGAAGACCUGUCCUUAGUACGAGAGGACCGGGAUGGACG